AGGUAGGCGGAAUGCGUGGUGUAGCGGUGAAAUGCAUAGAUAUCACGCAGAACUCCGAUUGCGAAGGCAGCUUACUAAACCAUAACUGACACUGAAGCACGAAAGCGUGGGGAUCAAACAGGAUUAGAUACCCUGGCAGUCCACGCAGUAAACGAUGAUUACUAGGAGUUUGCGAUAGACAGUAAGCUCUACAGCGAAAGCGUUAAGUAAUCCACCUGGGGAGUACGCCGGCAACGGUGAAACUCAAAGGAAUUGACGGGGGCCCGCACAAGCGGAGGAACAUGUGGUUUAAUUCGAUGAUACGCGAGGAACCUUACCCGGGUUUGAACGCAUUUGGACCGGCCUUGAAAGAGGUCUUCUAGCAAUAGCCAUUUGCGAGGUGCUGCAUGGUUGUCGUCAGCUCGUGCCGUGAGGUGUCGGCUUAAGUGCCAUAACGAGCGCAACCCUUAUCACUAGUUACUAACAGGUCAUGCUGAGGACUCUGGUGAGACUGCCAGCGUAAGCUGUGAGGAAGGUGGGGAUGACGUCAAAUCAGCACGGCCCUUACAUCCGGGGCGACACACGUGUUACAAUGGCAUGGACAAAGGGCAGCUACCUGGCGACAGGAUGCUAAUCUCCAAACCAUGUCUCAGUUCGGAUCGGAGUCUGCAACUCGACUCCGUGAAGCUGGAUUCGCUAGUAAUCGCGCAUCAGCCAUGGCGCGGUGAAUACGUUCCCGGGCCUUGUACACACCGCCCGUCAAGCCAUGGGAGCCGGGGGUACCUGAAGUCCGUAACCGCGAGGAUCGGCCUAGGGUAAAACUGGUGACUGGGGCUA
Molecule: ribosomal RNA, 816 nt
Filed under: uncultured organism
Description: SSU rRNA
Rfam family: Bacterial small subunit ribosomal RNA
Source: RNAcentral